AUGUUGCUGUAUCUGCAGUUGUCUCCAUCUGGCAAAGGUCUGCUUCGAUGCCCUAUUACUCCAAUCAGCCGCUAUAUGCUCAUUUUACUGAUUUCCUCAGGUUGUGCUGUGAAUCAGUCUCCAGACAUGGUGAUCAAGGAGGGAGGAUCAGUAUCCCUGAACUGCUCCCAAAGAAAAACCACUUAUAGUUACAUGUACUGGUAUAAACAACAAAGGAAGAAGGAUACACAGCUUCAACUUGUGGGUUUUUUCAUGGAAGGUUUAUCCCAGAAGUCUGAUAUUGAGACAGCAUUUCAAGGACGUUUCAAAAGCAAGGGGAUGAAGGCUUACGCAGUGUCCUUGUUGCUGGAGAGCGCUCAGCUGGGAGAUGCUGGCACUUACUUCUGUGCAAAGCAAGAUCACACAGUGAGGCAACUGGUGAGGAAACCAGACAGAAACCUCCUCGUAGAGAAAUGCAAGCAUACACAAGUGUCGAAGAUGUUUUGA
Hemicordylus capensis (graceful crag lizard) is the source of this 486-nucleotide non-coding RNA. NCBI's taxonomy places the organism in Eukaryota, Metazoa, Chordata, Lepidosauria, Squamata, Cordylidae. The record is from the annotation of a RefSeq genome assembly.